AAUAGAUACCCCGGUAGUCCUAGCUGUAAACCAUGACCACUAGGCGUGGGAGGUAUCGACCCCUUCCGUGCCGUAGGUAACCUGUUAAGUGGUCCGCCUGGGGAGUACGGUCGCAAGACUAAAACUCAAAGGAAUUGACGGGGACCCGCACAAGCAGCGGAGCGUGUGGUUUAAUUCGAUGCAACGCGAAGAACCUUACCAGGGUUUGACAUGUAUGCGACAUCCCUUGAAAGAGGGCUCCCUUCGGGGCGCAUGCACAGGUGCUGCAUGGCUGUCGUCAGCUCGUGCCGUGAGGUGUCUGGUUAAGUCCUCUAACGAGCGCAACCCCUAUGGCUAGUUGAACCUAUCUAGUCAGACCGCCACCACAAAAUGGAGGAAGGUGGGGAUGACGUCAAGUCAGCACGGCCCUUAUAUCCUGGGCGACACACACGCUACAAUGGUCGGUACAACGAGUUGCGAACCCGCGAGGGGGAGCCAAUCUCAGCAAAACCGGUCUCAGUUCGGAUUGUAGGCUGCAACCCGCCUGCA
This 528-nucleotide ribosomal RNA is filed under the name uncultured bacterium. RNAcentral's name for it is "bacterial SSU rRNA". It matches the Rfam family "Bacterial small subunit ribosomal RNA", at positions 777 to 1320 of the family's 1533-position model. The record is from RNAcentral.